Pectinophora gossypiella (pink bollworm) is the source of this 409-nucleotide long non-coding RNA. RefSeq lists it as uncharacterized. The record is from RefSeq and is a predicted model, not a curated record. Lineage: Eukaryota; Metazoa; Arthropoda; Insecta; Lepidoptera; Gelechiidae. The transcript has 3 exons.
CUCAACACCACAUUCGCAUACGGAAUGAUCUCGGAUCCGUAACUUAGCCAGAAAAACAGGGGAGCACACGUGACCCAGACGGAGACGGAUAAUCACAGAGAAAAUGUCUCCCAUGAGCACAAUUUUUGCAAGAGGAGACUGAAUGAAGACCAUUCCUACACCAAAGUUGAAGUUCCAGAGAAACGUACAAGAGUCGAAAGUGAUGCACCCAUUGACUCCACCCCUCGACGCCCUAGACGAAGAAGGCGUGUGAUUGUCACGAAAAAAUCUCUGACAUCAAUUUGUGCAAGAAUUAGUAAGCUUCCAGCAUACGGCAUUCCCGCUGGCUUCAGCACCUGGAUAUCAGACUUCCUGAGUGAGCGAUCGAUAAGAGUAGUCAUUGACGGCGGCUCUUCUGACCUUAUCGCUA